Molecule: ribosomal RNA, 301 nt
Filed under: uncultured bacterium
Lineage: Bacteria
Description: partial 16S ribosomal RNA
Rfam family: Bacterial small subunit ribosomal RNA
Source: RNAcentral
CAGUCGCCGCGGUAAAACGAGGGGUGCAAGCGUUAUUCGGAUUGAUUGGGUGUAAAGGGUGUGCAGACGGCUUAUUAAGUCACUUGUUAAAUUCUUCGGCCUAACUGAAGGUCUGCAAGUGAUACUGAUGAGCUAGAGGGUGGAAGAGAGAAGUGGAAUUCUCGGAGUAGCGGUAAAAUGCGUAGAUCUCGAGAGGAACACCAAUGGCGAAGGCAGCUUCUUGGUCCAUUCCUGACGUUCAUACACGAAAGCGUGGGGAGCAAACAGGAUUAGAUACCCGCGUAGUCCCUGUCUCUUAUAC